AACCAAACCAUCAGAUGGAUACCUGUCUUGCACACACGCAGUCUGUGAAGUAACUCAAGGUUUGAUAAAUCAACAACCUAUUUAAAGAAGCAACACCAGGCUCAGUUUGUGCUGCUUCAAUUAAUUGGCAACCUAUUUAAAGGGGCAAAACCCGUUCAAGCUGGUGUGGUUUCGAGAGGGGAACGGUAGAGUGAGGUCAGGAUGCUGGUGGCUCUCUAGUUUGCUGCUUUGUACUAGGUUGGUGCUGAAUGUCCUUCACUAGGAAAUUCAUCUGUUAAAACUUUGUCAACUGGGAUCGGUUUGCGAACACCUACCAUGCAUGAAAUGUGUCUUAGAAGAUGGAGGAGAAUAAGAACGGGACUCUGUCUUCUAGGAACCUAUGAUCAGGCGUAAUAACUGAAGUUAUUUGAUGAAUGCGCUGGACAGGGGAUAUGUGUCUUUGAGUAUGGCAUCUGAGAGGAGCAGCCGUAACAGUUCCUGACCUGUACAUUUCCAAGUUUGUGUCAUGUGAUCAUGGUACCCGGCACAACAUCCUCUAUGAGACUCCAGAAGUGCUGAGAUAGAGUUGCCUUGUCCUAAAGAUAAAGCUCUCAGAUAUAUGGUAAACUGUCUAAGGUUUCACCUCCCUGGGAGAGAAAACCAGUCGGAAUCACAGUAGGAACUGUGGAUUUUUCAACGUAUGUAAAGAAACGGAGCUUCUGACUCCCAGGUAAGGAUUUCCUUGUUCAACCUUCUUGGCACCUGCGCUCCAGGAGGCCGAGCGGCUUACUGGCCACUGCGUAGGACUCUGGCACAGGCUGUCCUCCAUCCUUCUGCUUAAAAUGCCCCUCCGCCAUCUCCCUGUGCCCUUCAUCCAAGGUCCAGUUCAAAGUCAGCCUUCUCCAUGAGGCCCUUGUGAAUUCUCCCUCAUCUUACCCUUCCCUCAACUCCCAGAGCUAGGUGCCCAGCCUCUCCCAGACAGAUCUGCUUUCUUUCCUGAGGUGCUGUGCUUCCUCCAACAUAGGAAACAAUUUUAAGGUCAGGAUUUUCUGGUCCACGUGGGUCCAACCCGUGGUUUGAAUACAGCCAUUUAGGGUAGCACAGGGGCUUUCAUAGUGGUCUGCCUUGGAUUGAACCCUAGCCCCCCCACCCUUGUCUGCUAGAUGUGUAACUCGGGAUGAGGCAUCCUGGCUCUGCCUCAGUUUCUACAUCUGUAAAGUGGGGACAAUAAACAGCCAACAUCUAACAGUGGUUGGGAGGAGCACACCUGACAGCACAAAAGCCAGGCUGGGAAAAAGCCCUGCUUCCCAUGUUAGUGGCCGUGACCAUCGUCACCACCAUCACAUGAGACCGCAGUGCGUAUCUGGUGGGGAAUAAACAUGCAAGCAGUCACCAGAGGAAGCAGAGAAAGGGCUGCUGGGGAAAGGGGCCUCUCAGGAGUUGGCUUUAAAAAAAAAAAGAAUGAUGGACAAUUAGCAGAGUGGUAGUUGGAGGUAAAUAGACCUUUAAAACACUUAAACAGCCUAAAUGUGUCACCUCUCAUCUUGUUUAUAUGGUCAAUUUGCUUAACCAACUCUUCCUUCGUCACUCUCCCUGUCUUAAUGAUCACAACUCUGAAGGAGGUGGGGCCAGAUGAAGCAGGAGUUACUGUAACAAUGAAAAGGAGGAGGAGGAAUAGCAACACUUCAGAGAUUCUCACCCUGGAUUCUGUAACCCACCUGUGUCCUUUUCUUUACAGAAGUGGAAUUUAGAAAGCUGAAGAUGCGCUAUCACUUUAGUCAUGGGUCUAAGAGCCCACUGUCAGAAUGUCACUUUUCUCAAAGGAGAAUCCGGGUCCCCAAGCAAGAACCCUCUGAAAAAAAUGGUGCAAUGCACCCAAGGCUGCAGGCAUGGUGUGCGGAGGGCAGAUGUGCCGUCCUAAGCACAAGCCCUGCCUGGGGAGUCCAUGGGGGGAGUGGAGGGAGCAGGAGGAAGGACAGCUGCCAGGAAGCUGUGUGUUGGUUAAUGUGAUUUUCAUUCCUUUACUCAUACCUCCUCCACUGCUACUUCUCAAAAACUAGGGAUAUUUGGCACAUGACAGUAUUGGAAAAACAAAAAAGCCACCAGAAAGAAUCUCCUGGACACAUGAUCAACCAGAAGGAAAGGGCAGUGUUGGCCACAGUAGCAAAUCCAGCAGAAAGCACCUGAGCUACACCCCAAAUCCUCCCCUUCGUGAGCUGUGCAUUAGAAAUGUCAUAGAGAGUGGAGACAUGGCUGCUCAUCAGGACAGCAGACUUGGGUUAGAAACAUCCUGGUGUGGGGGCAGGGGGACAACAGCACAAACUUUCUACAUGUCCCUGUCUUGACACCAUUUCAUUAUUUAAGUGUAAACACACGCACACCUACAACACCAAAGGUUCCUUAAAUCCAGGAGAUUCUAAAAUUGGCGCUGAUUCCCUAUUUUCAGUCCCUUCCUGCUGCUGCUUCCUUGGUCCACAGGACACACAAAAAACACUUGGCCUCACAGAAGGGCUGCCCACUUCAGUCCCUGGCUAGCCGGUGAUAGAGUUUCCCACACUUCCAGAGCCGAGGGCCUUUUCCUCUCAAGCACCACCCCUCCACGGUUGAUUACAAACCCCGCUAGACCGUCUUCCUGACGUCAAGUCUGUGUUUAACAAGGGCUGUGAUUGACAGCCCAGGAAUGGGAGGUGUCUGCUUUCCAUAUGUUUUAUCCUUAUUUAAGCCCAUUAUAAGUUAUGUGCGCUUAAGCAUUAUAUCCUUAGUUUGCCAGCUGAAGGUGUACGAGGGUAACAAAGCAUUAUUUUUAGCCGAAAAAGAGACUUGCAUGAAUGGGUGGCUCCCUUUGUGGGGUGGGCAUUUUCCUGUCAUGCAUAAUGUUGCCUGAAAUGCAGUUCCACAGCCUGAUUAGCUUCCUCUUCCCUCUAAGAAGGUGGCUUUGCCAGUGCAUGUUUCAGGGAGUGGCACUGGCACUGACCUUGGCUGUGCUGGGCAGACUGGCCAGCAGGUUUCUGAGGAAGGUGCUGCAGUGCCCUCAUGGAGUCAGAAAGGCAGAGUGAGGAAGGCACUCAGGUUCAGGAGCCACACAGAUUUGAUUCAGUUUUGGCUCCAUCCUCUCUAGAUAUGUGACCUUGAGCAAACUGGGGGGCCUUAAUUUCCCCAUUAUAUAAUGGGAACAGUACCCACCUCACAGGGGCUUUGAGAGAAAGCAUUUAAGUUUAGGGUCCUGUACAGAAAACAUGUAUGUAAGUAUAUGGAAAUAGGCAUAAGCUGGAGUUCGCAUUGUGGCUCAGCAAAAAUGAAUCCUACUAGUAUCCAUGAGGAUGCAUGUUGUACCCCUGGGCUCGCUCAGUGGGUUAAGGAUCUGGCAUUGCUGUGAGCAGUGG
This is a long non-coding RNA of Sus scrofa (pig), 3362 nucleotides long. RefSeq lists it as uncharacterized. NCBI's taxonomy places the organism in Eukaryota, Metazoa, Chordata, Mammalia, Artiodactyla, Suidae. The record is from RefSeq and is a predicted model, not a curated record.